GACGAACGCUGGCGGCGUGCCUAAUACAUGCAAGUUGAGCGCUGAAGGUUGGUACUUGUACCAACUGGAUGAGCAGCGAACGGGUGAGUAACGCGUGGGGAAUCUGCCUUUGAGCGGGGGACAACAUUUGGAAACGAAUGCUAAUACCGCAUAAAAACUUCAAACACAAGUUUUAAGUUUGAAAGAUGCAAUUGCAUCACUCAAAGAUGAUCCCGCGUUGCAUUAGCUAGUUGGUGAGGUAAAGGCUCACCAAGGCGAUGAUACAUAGCCGACCUGAGAGGGUGAUCGGCCACAUUGGGACGGAGACACGGCCCAAACUCCUACGGGAGGCAGCAGUAGGGAAUCUUCGGCAAUGGACGAAAGUCUGACCGAGCAACGCCGCGUGAGUGAAGAAGGUUUUCGGAUCGUAAAACUCUGUUGGUAGAGAAGAACGUUGGUGAGAGUGGAAAGCUCAUCAAGUGACGGUAACUACCCAGAAAGGGACGGCUAACUACGUG
Molecule: ribosomal RNA, 497 nt
Filed under: uncultured bacterium
Lineage: Bacteria
Description: partial 16S ribosomal RNA
Rfam family: Bacterial small subunit ribosomal RNA
Source: RNAcentral